Molecule: non-coding RNA, 126 nt
Organism: Triticum aestivum (bread wheat)
Lineage: Eukaryota; Viridiplantae; Streptophyta; Magnoliopsida; Poales; Poaceae
Source: Rfam
CAACUACUCCCUCCGUCUAAAAUUACUUGUCGCAGAAAUGGAUAAAAAUGAGUAUAUCAAGAAUUAAAAUACGUCUUAGAUACAUUCAUUUUUCUGACAAGUAUUUCCGAAUGGAGGAAGUAUUUU